Molecule: ribosomal RNA, 1410 nt
Filed under: Triticum aestivum (bread wheat)
Lineage: Eukaryota; Viridiplantae; Streptophyta; Magnoliopsida; Poales; Poaceae
Description: partial small subunit ribosomal RNA
Source: RNAcentral
AUGGUGCUGGUCCAGUCGACUGUCAGCCCGCUGAUCGUGGAGGCCCAGCCCAUCCGGAGCGCAUAUAAAUUCAUGUGGCUGCGUAAAGGUUUGUUGGAUCCCUCACUAGGUUUUCUAGACACCAAAUCGGAAGUGCGGCGGCUAGGUCGUGGUGUGCAUCGUCUUCUCCGCCCUCCUCCCCCUCCUCCACUCGUGUGUUCCUUUGCAGAGCUGGUCGCCAUGCGUUCUCGCGAAGACCAGCGCACGACCAAGCGGCCUCUGGACCUGCUGGAUCCAGAGGCGGAGCGCCGCAGUGAGCAAGAUCUACGCGAGCAGGCGCAACAAGAGCGGCGGCCGGCUCGCGAGGGGGAUUUGGAUCCUCCUCCGCCGUCGCGGAACAAGCAACAGAACAGAAAGAAGGAGCAAAGGCGUCGGAGUCAAGAUCUGCAACGUAAGGAGAAGCAGCACCAGUUUUGCGGCGACCAGGUUGAAGAUCCUUUUGCAAAGAAAUCAAAGCAUAAGCCAUCUGGGUCACUGGCUCUGCCAGCCCAGGCGCAGCUGGCGCUGCCUUCCUCCUCGCAGGGCAUGGCCUUGGCGCCCAUCCUGGUCGAGGAAGCGGAGCGGCUAGAGUGCUUCAAGUACGGCCGCAUUGGGCCCUUCCAGUCGCAACGCCAGUUCAAGCCGCUCUGUGUGUUGUGCAAGGAAGAUGGGCAUGCUUCUGCUUACUGCCCCUCCUGUGGCAAGCUACUGAUGCUUCAAACUAUGGGCCACGCGAUCCCAGGGGAGGGCUUUUUCUGCUUACAGUUCAAGGAAGAAGACGAUGAAGACAGUGGGGUGCUUGGGGGCAAUGCGGCCAUCAUUUCGGCAGAUCCAGGCACCCUCUCUCAGUGGAUUCUGGAAGAUGAACUCAGGCACCUUGUCGAGGGGGCUUGGGACUGGCAGGUUGUGCAAAUCUCGGAGGCGGAGUUCACGGUAAUCUUCCCAUCCCCGGACAUGUUAUGGAUGGCCACCCGCAGUGGGAAGUUGUUCCUUCCCCUCAACAAUAUCACAACAAGGAUCCGCGAGUUGGUCUGGGAGGAGCCCAAAGGGGAAGUGAUGCCGGAGGUGUGGGUGAGGCUCUCGGGAGUGCCCAAGAAGCACAGCCGUGAGGACAGGCUGAUGGCUGCCAUGUCUAUGAUUGGCCUCCCUCUGGUGGUAGACGAGCUCUCGCUCAUUCGUCCGGGGCCAGUGAGGAUGAAGUUCGCGUGCUGUGCUCCAGCCAAGCUGCGGGGCACGGUCAAGAUCUGGUUCAACAACAUUGGAUACAACAUCACGUUGGAGCCGGAGCUCAAGCCCAUGCGUAAGAGUGGAGGCCCGCCUCCUCCCAAUCAGAACAAUUGCAAGGGUCCUGAUGGCGAUGACAAAGACAAGGAAGAGAGAAUGGACGACUAA